Molecule: long non-coding RNA, 251 nt
Organism: Sinocyclocheilus grahami
Lineage: Eukaryota; Metazoa; Chordata; Actinopteri; Cypriniformes; Cyprinidae
Exons: 3
Source: RefSeq, a predicted model, not a curated record
CAAGACUGCCAUGUUGUGAAACAUCUAUCCAAGGAAGAGUAUAAUGGAUGCACAGCAGCCCUGAUUGUGGGUGGAAAAAACGUCUCUCCGUUUCAUAGGCCAGGGGGAUAUUUAGAGGUUUUCCGGAAUGCAGGAGUUCCUCCCAAACAGAAACUCACCACGUUUUGUGUGUCAGACAACGCCAUCAUCAAACCAGGCACUCCUCUCUAUGCAGCUCACUUCUGUCCAGGACAAUAUGUGGAUGUCACAGC